GACGAACGCUGGCGGCGUACCUAAUACAUGCAAGUCGAGCGCAGGAAGUCAUCCGAACCCUUCGGGGGGACGUUGACGGAAUGAGCGGCGGACGGGUGAGUAACACGUAAAGAACCUGCCCUCAGGUCUGGGAUAACCACGAGAAAUCGGGGCUAAUACCGGAUGGGUCAUCGGACCGCAUGGUCCGAGGAUGAAAGGCGCUCCGGCGUCGCCUGGGGAUGGCUUUGCGGUGCAUUAGCUAGUUGGUGGGGUAAUGGCCCACCAAGGCGACGAUGCAUAGCCGACCUGAGAGGGUGAUCGGCCACACUGGGACUGAGACACGGCCCAGACUCCUACGGGAGGCAGCAGUAGGGAAUCUUCCACAAUGGACGAAAGUCUGAUGGAGCAACGCCGCGUGAACGAUGAAGGCCCUCGGGUCGUAAAGUUCUGUUGUAAGGGAAGAACAAGUGCCGCAGGCAAUGGCGGCACCUUGACGGUACCUUGCGAGAAAGCCACGGCUAACUACGUG
Molecule: ribosomal RNA, 508 nt
Filed under: uncultured bacterium
Lineage: Bacteria
Description: partial 16S ribosomal RNA
Rfam family: Bacterial small subunit ribosomal RNA
Source: RNAcentral